This is a long non-coding RNA of Saccostrea cuccullata (small rock oyster), 1534 nucleotides long. RefSeq lists it as uncharacterized. The transcript has 4 exons. NCBI's taxonomy places the organism in Eukaryota, Metazoa, Mollusca, Bivalvia, Ostreida, Ostreidae. The record is from RefSeq and is a predicted model, not a curated record.
GAAUCUGAUCUCUCUUGACUUAUGGAGAAGUAGGAUAUCAGAGACUGGACUAGACUAUAUUGCUGAGAAUUGUAAACACAUUGAGGAGUUAGAUCUAGGCUGGUGUUCAAAUCUGAAGGCAGGGACUUACUGUUUUAUUGAUCUUGUAAAGAAGUGUCCAAACAUUAAGAAGUUAUACUUGACUGCCAAUAGGACUAUUUCUAAUGAGGACCUCUUAGCGUUCUGUAAGUACUGCCCACAGUUGGAGCAGUUAGACAUCUUAGGUACUGGCAAUGUCGGUCGGGAGAGUGUUUUCAGUGUCCUAACACAAUGUCAGAAGCUGAUAUUUCUAGAUGUAUCAUUCUGCGCUAAUGUUGAUGUGGACGCUGUUACACUAUGGUCCACACAGUUUCCAAGAUGUAGCAUCAAGCGAAGCUUUCAGGACUAGCUCUCUGUAGAGAAAUCUUAAUUGAAAUACAGUCAAACUUUGAUAUCUCUGUCCCUCACAGUACCUUUCAUAAAUCAUCAAAUCACCCCAAAUUGUUCAGAUAUCAGGGAAAAAGCAGUAGAUUUUUUUAAAGACACUUUGGGUCUGUUGAUCAUUAUCAUUUCUACUACCCCUCUUCUUUAAGCAAUUUGUCAAAAAAAGUCAGUUUUCUGGCCUUUUGAACUUUAUUGUUUGGUCGCUAAUAGUGCAGUAAACCUACUGCUCUAAUAUCUGAACAAACUGGGAUAAUAUUUCUUUUUAUGAAGGUACUGUCGAUAUUGAGAUCCAAAAGUUUAGCUGCAUUUGCAUUUCUUAUUAAGAUCUCUCCUUAUUUACUGUUUUAGAGCUUAAAGCAUAUUUUGCAUUUGUUAUUAAGCUCUCUAUAUAUUCUCUGUUUUAGAGGUUAAGGUAUAAACACAAGCAAUUUACAAUUAACAUAUGAUUUUAAUUCUUUUAAUUGUAUUUUUUAUUUAAUAAUUAAUCAAAGAAAUUUUUAAAUGAUAAUGUAUACAUUUUAUAUGUAUAUAUAUUUUCAGGAGUGAUUCCAUUAAUUUCAAUUUUAAUUUUUUUGGGGGGGGGAUCAAUUUUUUCUUUUUAGUUUGAAAUGGAACAGAUAGUUAGUAUUUAAUUUGAGUGAUAAACUCAAACAAAUAAUUUUUUAGUAUUAUAUGUAGUCAUAAGAAGUUACUGAAGCAUCACAUCGGGUCACUUAAUUUUUUUUUUGCUAAUUUCUCCAUGGCACCUGAUCCCCCCUCUGAUGUUUCAGAGGCCCCGUGUUUGCUUUGCUCCAGUACUGUAUUGUUUAAUGGACUUUUGAGCUUGAAUUCUCGCCUGUUUGUUAUCUCCAUAUAUCUUAUGUUUCAGUAUGUGCCUUUCAUGUUACUGAAGACAGCUGUGAUAUCACUUAUUUGUUUAUAUUUGUUUAAUAUGUUUGUUAUAUGGCACAUUGCUUAAAGAUUGGGGGUGGAAAAUUGUUUGCAAUCAGUAGAGUUUCAAAAUUUUAAAUUAAUAUGAUGAUCGAUAUGUGUAUGAUGGCAUUUCUGGAAUUUUAUAUUAAGUGGAUUAGUU